GACGAACGCUGGCGGCGUGCCUAAUACAUGCAAGUUGAGCGCUGAGGGGUGGUACUUGUACCUACUGCGUGAGCAGCGGACGGGUGAGUAACGCGUGGGGAAUCUGCCUUUGAGAGUGGGAUAACAUUUGGAAACGAAUGCUAAUACCGCAUAAAAUCUUUAAACACAAGUUUUAAGAUUGAAAGAUGCAAUUGCAUCACCCUAUGAUGAUCUCGCGUUGUAUUUGCUAGUUUGUUAGGUAAAGGCUCUACCAGGCGAAGAUACAUAGGCGACCUGAGAGGGUGGUCCGCCAACACGGGACCGGGACACGGCCCAAACCCCCACGGGGAGCAGGAAGAAGGAAACUUCGGGAAAGGACGAAAGGCUGACCGGGCAACGCCGCGGGAGGGAAUAAGGUUUUCCGGUCGUAAAACUCCGGUUAUAAGGAAGAACGAUAGUGGGAGUGGAAAGCGCACCAAGUGACGGUAACUACCCAGAAAGGCACGGCUAACUACGUG
RNAcentral lists this ribosomal RNA (497 nucleotides) under uncultured bacterium. Its description in RNAcentral is "partial 16S ribosomal RNA". It matches the Rfam family "Bacterial small subunit ribosomal RNA", at positions 28 to 507 of the family's 1533-position model. The record is from RNAcentral.